Molecule: non-coding RNA, 45 nt
Organism: Chelonia mydas (Green sea turtle)
Lineage: Eukaryota; Metazoa; Chordata; Testudines; Cheloniidae
Source: Rfam
CCAAAGGCUCUUUUAAGAGCCAUCCACUUUCUCAUCCAAAGAGCU